UGUUUACUUCAUACAUAGGCUAUAUGUUCACAUGCCGUGACUCAGGUUGCAAAGCCAUGGCCAGCUACAGCAGUAAUAUGAUGAGGUGUGCACUAGCGAUAUUCCUAGCUAUCCUGGUGCUACAAGUCAGAAGCAGAAAGCCAAAUAUCGUUCUGAUGAUUGCAGACGACUUGGGGUACGGAGAUGUCGGCUGCUUCGGAAACUCGACGCUGCGGACGCCGCACAUUGACAGCCUGGCCGCGGACGGAGCCAAGCUGACUCAGCACCUGACAGCCUCCAGUCUCUGCUCUCCUAGUAGGGCAGCGAUGUUGACAGGUCGCUACCCGGUUCGAUCAGGAAAAUGGCAUCUUGGCUGGAGUAAAGACCGACUGUCCGAUUUUGCACAUCAUCCAAUGAAACACGGAUUUGACUAUUUUUACGGGCUUCCUCUCACAAACAUCAAGGAUUUUGGGUCUGAGGGGGAACGCCUAAUGAAGUCCGUUGACCCAUACAUUUAUUACCGCAUACUGAGCAUCUUCCUGGUGAUGUUCAUCACAGCAUCAUGUCUAUACAAAUCUAACAACAUCGGAAUCCUCUUUUUUCUCUUGAUUCUGUUCACAAUCACAGCUGUUUUCGGUCUCCUUUACUUUGUUACUGACAAUUUCAAACUGUUAAACAGCCAGAUUUACCGCGAGUACGACAACGUGGAACAACCUAUUGACUUGGAGACGCUGAUGCGAAAGCUGGUCAUUGAAGGUCAGGAGUUUCUGGAGGAAAGAAGCAAAGACGACGCUCCCUUUUUGUUGGUCAUGUCGUGGACACAUGUCCAUACAUACCUGCACCCGGCGAAAAGAUUUGGUGGCAAGAGUCGACAUGGGACAUACGGUGACUCGGUCGAGGAACUGGACUGGGCUGUGGGCGAAAUAUUGAAGUCCUUGGAACAACUUGGGUUCAAGGACAACACCAUGGUAUAUUUUACAUCGGAUAACGGAGGUCACUUGGAGGAAAGAAACAAACACGGAGAGCCUCAUGGUGGCUACAACGGGAUCCUAAGGGGCGGUAAAGCCCACGGUACAGUGGAUGGAGGUAUCCGGGUGCCCACAGUGAUGAGGUGGCCUGGUCACAUCACACCAGGAACAGUGGUGGACGAACCAACCAGCCUCAUGGACGUCUUGCCCACGGUUGCCAAGGCGAUGGGAGCGUCAGUACCAGACGACCGCCAGUUGGAUGGCUACGAUCUCUUGCCGCUACUCCAGAAACAAACCCUAGUGUCUUCACACGAGUUCAUGUUUCAUUACUGCGGUACGGAGGUCCAUGCUGUGCGGUACAGACCACGUGAAGGUUUUGGGUGCCUUGAAGCGGUCAUUGUUCUUUGACUGAUAUGGCUACAUGCUACACGAAUAUAGGGAGUCAUCAUUCCAUGUAUGGAUAUCCAAUUGGUCAAUUUGGCUUGUGAUGUAGGGGUGGGAAGAGAAUGGUUUUUCAUGAGUUGGAGAAAACAGCAGCGAAAUCACGAGCGCUUUAAAGAGAACGUAAACCUCCUUUGUAAAUCCGUUUGGAAGCUGGCUUUAAAAGAACCACCUUACCUUCCUGGACAGGAUGUUUGUAUGUUCAUAUGCCAUUGCGCAAACUCGAUAACACUCGAUCCACCUUAUCUCUACGAUAUGACGUCAGACCCAGGA
RNAcentral lists this unclassified non-coding RNA (1661 nucleotides) under Gigantopelta aegis. Its description in RNAcentral is "steryl-sulfatase-like, transcript variant X1". The record is from RNAcentral. Lineage: Eukaryota; Metazoa; Mollusca; Gastropoda; Neomphalida; Peltospiridae.